AUUGAACGCUGGCGGCAUGCCUUACACAUGCAAGUCGAACGGUAACGCGGGGCAACCUGGCGACGAGUGGCGAACGGGUGAGUAAUGCAUCGGAACGUGCCUGGUAGUGGGGGAUAACUGUUCGAAAGAACAGCUAAUACCGCAUACGACCUGAGGGUGAAAGGGGGGGAUCGCAAGACCUCUCGCUAUCAGAGCGGCCGAUGUCGGAUUAGCUAGUUGGUGGGGUAAAGGCCCACCAAGGCAACGAUCCGUAGCUGGUCUGAGAGGACGACCAGCCACACUGGGACUGAGACACGGCCCAGACUCCUACGGGAGGCAGCAGUGGGGAAUUUUGGACAAUGGACGCAAGUCUGAUCCAGCCAUGCCGCGUGCGGGAAGAAGGCCUUCGGGUUGUAAACCGCUUUGUCNGGGAAGAAAUACUUCUGAAUUAAUACCUCGGGAGGAUGACGGUACCUGAAGAAUAAGCACCGGCUAACUACGUG
Molecule: ribosomal RNA, 482 nt
Filed under: uncultured bacterium
Lineage: Bacteria
Description: bacterial SSU rRNA
Rfam family: Bacterial small subunit ribosomal RNA
Source: RNAcentral